CCUACGGGGGGCAGCAGUGGGGGAUAUUGCACAAUGGGGGGAACCCUGAUGCAGCGACGCCGCGUGGGUGAAGAAGCGCCUCGGCGUGUAAAGCCCUGUCAGCAGGGAAGAAAAUGACGGUACCUGAAGAAGAAGCCCCGGCUAACUACGUGCCAGCAGCCGCGGUAAUACGUAGGGGGCAAGCGUUAUCCGGAUUUACUGGGUGUAAAGGGGGCGCAGACGGCGAUGCAAGCCAGGAGUGAAAGCCCGGGGCCCAACCCCGGGACUGCUCUUGGAACUGCGGGGCUGGAGUGCAGGAGAGGCAAGCGGAAGGCGUGGUGUAGCGGUGAAAGGAGUAGAUAUCAGGAGGAACACCAGUGGCGAAGGCGGCCUACUGGACUGGAACUGACGUUGAGGCUCGAAAGCGUGGGGAGCAAACAGGAUUAGAUACCCUGGUAGUC
This 440-nucleotide ribosomal RNA is filed under the name uncultured bacterium. Its description in RNAcentral is "partial 16S ribosomal RNA". It matches the Rfam family "Bacterial small subunit ribosomal RNA", at positions 338 to 795 of the family's 1533-position model. The record is from RNAcentral.